CAUGCAUUCACCAGUCCCGACUCUCUCUCUCUCUCUCUCUCUCUGCAGGACCAUACAUCUCCAAGAGUGUCUGUCAUCCGUGGACGUCAGCACAAGGAGCAACUAUUCUAUUGUGCUUUGAGGAAUUUUUUAAGAACUUAAACCAUUUAGGAAUUAGGAAAACUACAUCAUUUGUUUUCCAUCUGUCUACAUCAACUGAGGCCAGGGUCAGGGAGAAAGCAGAAAGGAGUCCUUGAGGUGCCUGGGAAGAGGAAGCAAAGAACUACUUUGCCUUUUCCAGGACAUUGUGUGGGCUUGCUAGACCCAGAGGAGGAUUGACACCACACAGAUAAAUUUUUCACAUUAGCAGAAGUUGUGUUUCUUCAUAAACAAAACUGGAGACGAGCAAGUAGAAAUUGGAUCGGGACCAGUUGUCCGGAUAAGGGAUGUAAAGUCAUCUCCGGGAGGAGGAAAGCAGCAAUUUCCUACCUCAAGUCACACACAAGCAACUCCCCUUCCUCCAGAAGCCUCUGGUCUGAUGUCACUGUUACCAGCACCACCAUCAGGUCUCACAGUCUUCAUUUCUGAAAGCACUUGUGCUACAUGAAGCUCAUAUAAUAAAUCAUCUGCUUUUCCCUUAUUAACCUACCUUCGUCAGUGUUUACUUCAGACUGUCAUGGUUAUCUAAAGUGUCCUGGAAAAGGCUCGCUG
RNAcentral lists this long non-coding RNA (690 nucleotides) under Fukomys damarensis (Damara mole-rat). RNAcentral describes it as "lncRNA (ENSFDAG00000029399.1)". Lineage: Eukaryota; Metazoa; Chordata; Mammalia; Rodentia; Bathyergidae. The record is from RNAcentral.